This 169-nucleotide non-coding RNA is filed under the name bovine gut metagenome. The record is from RNAcentral.
GUUCAGGUGCCCUUUGACGUAAAGGCAGAGGGGUAAUAGGGAACCGGGUGAGAAUCCCGGACGAACCGGUCACUGUAAACGGACAGUUCCCGCGCAUGGAUGCCAUUGCCGUAAGGUGAGAAGGCGCGCGGAAACGUUAUGCCGUAAGUCAGGAAACCUGCCUGGACGG